Molecule: long non-coding RNA, 1299 nt
Filed under: Taeniopygia guttata (zebra finch)
Lineage: Eukaryota; Metazoa; Chordata; Aves; Passeriformes; Estrildidae
Description: lncRNA (ENSTGUG00000022963.1)
Source: RNAcentral
UGUCCCUGUCCUUGUCCCUGUCCCGCCCUGUCCCUGUCCCUGCCCCUGCUCUGUCCCUGUCCCUGUUCCUCUGUCCCUGCCCCUGUCCCUGUCCCUGCCCCAGUCCCUGUCCCUGUCCCUGUCCCGCCUCCCUGUCCCUGUCCCCUGCCCUCUGCUUGUCCCUGUCCCUGUCCCUGUCCCUGCCCCUGCCCCUGUCCCUGCCCAGUCCCUGUCCCUGUCCCUGUCCGCCCCUGUCCCUGUCCCUGCCCCUGUCCCGUCCCUGUCCCUGUCCCUGUCCUGUCCCUGUCCUGUCCCGAGCGGGCUGUGCAGGAUGUUAAGAGCUCUUCCCACGCCCCAGCUCAGAGCCCUUUGCCUCUCCCAGUUCCCUCCAGAACAUUUUCCCCGGGUGUCCCAGUCCCCAGGACCCUCCGGUGCAGAGCAAGGUGGAGCCGCCCAGCCUGGACCCUGCGGAGAGCCGCUGCUCUGGGAAGGGCUCACCCUCAACAAGUGCAUCCUGGUGGCCUCCGUGGUGGCCCUGCUCAGCGUCACCUUCCAGGUGCUCCAAGCUCCAUGCUCCAAGGAGGGACUCGCCCGCGGCCGGCAGGAACCUCCGCUCCGCCGCCCCCGUUCCCGGUGGGUCCGACCCUCCCGAUCCUGAGACACGGAACAUCCCAGGCUGGGGUGGCCUGGGAGCCCCCGGCUGGGAUAUCCCACAGCUGACAGUUGUCCUUGUCCCUGUCCCUCCCAGAGGCCGUGAGCCCCAAGGCGGAGAUCCCAGAGGCGGUGACCGCCAGCCUGAGCCGCCACCGGAGAGCAGCGCGGUGGAGGAUAUGGUGAUGAUGACGGUGACGAUUACGAUGACAGCGAAGCUGACAGCAACCUGGUACGCAGGGUGGUGGCACCUCCCGGGGCAGGGAGCAUUGUCCCCAGGGCAGGAGAGGGGUCCCGGUCCCUGGGCUGCGCUCAGCUCCCGGUCCCCUCUGUCCCACAGGCAGAACCCUGGAUCUCAAGAAGUGGUUUGGCCGCGCAACACCAGAGUGAGGACAAGGUGGGGAAGGAUGAGGAGAAGAGAUGAGGAUGAGGAUGAAGAACCUGCAGAUGUCCUCGAGGUGCCAGUGACUGUGAUGGAGGGGAAGAAGAGCCAGGAGAAGAAAGUAGAGAAGGAGGAGGAGAAGGAAGAGGAAGAAAGAGGAGAAGGAGAAGAAAAAGAGAAUGAGAGGGAGGAGAAUGAGAAAGGAUGAGGGGAGGAGGAGAAUGAGAAGGAUGAGGAGGAGGAGGAGGAGAAGGAGGAGAAGAAGAAGGAGGGAAGAAGGAGAAAGC